GACUCUCUGCAACGAAUUUCUAGGCUCUCGCAUCGAUGAAGAAUGUAGCGAAAUGCGAUACUUGGUAGGAAUUGUAGAAUUCCGCGAAUCAUUGAGUUUUUGAACGCAAGUUGCGCUCGAAGCCAUUCGGCCGAGGGCACGUCUGCUUGGGUGUCA
Molecule: ribosomal RNA, 156 nt
Organism: Quercus lobata
Lineage: Eukaryota; Viridiplantae; Streptophyta; Magnoliopsida; Fagales; Fagaceae
Product: 5.8S ribosomal RNA
Exons: 1
Source: RefSeq, a predicted model, not a curated record